Long non-coding RNA from Gallus gallus (chicken), 4820 nucleotides. The record is from Ensembl. NCBI's taxonomy places the organism in Eukaryota, Metazoa, Chordata, Aves, Galliformes, Phasianidae.
AUGCUAUUAAAAAUUAUAAUUCCUAUGGAUAAGAUUUUGCUACAUGCCUACAAUAUCCUGGACUUGGAGGGCUGUCCAUAUUAUGCUAAUCAAAUUGUCCUCAUUUUAUGCACAUCUACCAUUUGCUUAUUUUUGUCAUCACAAGCAACCACGUGGAAAUACAUUCCAAACCUUCAUUUCAAACAUGUUCUGUGUUUAAUGUAACAAACUGAAAUAAAGUCAUAUCUAAACCAUUGUCCUGAGUUCUCCCUUUUGUUGUAGUAGGCGUCUUGCGGGGGCACGGGAUGUACGGGACAGGCCUCUCCCUAAACAUAGAGAGAUAGUGCUAUCGUGCUGACCUUGUUGCAGAGAAAACAGGAGAAGAAGAAGGAUGAUAAAAGAAUGUGGAAAUGGCCAAAUAAGGCACAAUGUUAUCUGGUGUGAACUAAUCAGAGUGGGACAUGACAGCACGGUUAUCUAGGUAAAAAUGUAUAUAAGCUGUGUUUAGUAGUGAAUAAACGCCAUUUGCCUCACUUACUCCUGGGGUCUGGGUGAGCAUCUGGCCCCGACCUGGUAAAGGGUCGGUUUCGCCCAGCAGUAAGCCCUACAUGUGGACAGAGGACGAACACCGGACGAGCGAACGGAGACUACAUGCAACAAGUGGUGACCCCGACGUGAUCUGUCUGCUGAGGGUGGCUGCCCGGCGUGCCCGUGACGCGGAGAAGAGCCUGUGAGGUGGCGGCAGGUCGCAUACGUAACAAUGGACCAAGUCAUUAAGGUACUUGUGCAGUUUUGUAAGGACUACUGUGGAAAAUCUGCUCCUUCCCGGAAGGAGAUCGCGGCAGUUUUGUCGCUAUUAAAUGAGCUGGGGGAGCUGGACUCUCCCCGCUACGUUUUGGAUUCGAGUAGGUGGGACUUGCUCACCUCGGCGCUAUGCCAGCGCGCCAUGGCCAGUCAGAAGGCUACGGAACUUAAAACGUGGGGACUGAUAUUAGGAGCCCUUAAAGCGGCCAGAGUUGAGGGAAAGGUAUUGGCAGAGGCUCGAUACCUUUUGGGUCUCAGCGGAGGAGGUGAGACACAGGACCCGGUCGGGUCCGAUGGGGGUUCGGGAGCAGUUUCUUGCAGGGGCCGAGAGGAGACGGAGCCGCCAAUGACCGUUGGCGGGAUGGCGCCGGCUGAGCAGACCGCGCUCAGUUCAAAAGAAGACAAACAACAAGAGAGUGAAAGUUCGUUGUCUCGUCCCCCUCCCCCGUAUCCACACCCCUCAGGCGGAACGUUGUAUCCUUUAUCAGAAUUACGUCAGUGUUACCUGACACAAGGGGGCGGAGGAAGCUGUGAUCUACAUGGGCAGGAUCAACUUAGUGCCCACAUGGGGAGGGACCAGACAAAAGGUCCGUCCAAUGCGGACAGGGGGCAUAGCCUACUGUCUCUGGUCUCUCCCAGGGGCGGUAGUGCGAGUGAUAGUGUAGAGGAGAAAGAAGGGACUGGCUUUGAGUGCAGGGGGAGGGAUCAAAUGACGGACUGGAAUGGGAUUAGAUCGGAGGCUUUGGGAAAGGGUAUAGUUCCAGAGGCAUUCCGGGUAAUUGUGAGUGAUCGUGGUCCCGAAUGGGUGCCGCCUGACCCCGGGGGUGUUACGCGCCUGGUGGAAUUUAUGGAUAAAAGAGGCCUGAAAUCGCCUCUGACAUUAAAUGCACUACAAACUUUGGCUGCACUGGGGCCUCUCUUCCCCCGUGACAUCACAAACUUAAUGCGUACGGUGCUCAGGCUGGUUCAAUAUACGUUAUGGGAGACGGACUGGGUGGCCGAGUUGGGGGGCCGUGCCGGGGCGACAGGGGUCGGCCCGCACCGCUCCCUGCAUGGGACCGGAAUACAGCGGCUUUCAGGGAAGGCCGUGGGAGUGGCUUCGCCCCAGGGCCAGCUAGCGAGACUAAGGCCAGGGGAGCUAAUAGCAGCCACAGAUGCAGUGGUGGAAGCGUUUAAUAAACUUGUGCAUAAGGCCGAACCACCUACUCCGUGCACAGAUAUUACCCAGGGCCCGAAUGAAUCCUUUCAAAGCUUUACAGACAGGCUUUUAGCUGCUGCAGAGGGGUCUGAUCUCCUGGUACCGGCCCAAGGGCCAGUGAUCAUUGACUACUUGCAGCAGAAAUCGCAUGACAAUGUUAAGGCAUUGCUGCGAGCCGGCCGAAGUACGCUUAAUACCUCGGGAGCCGGCCGAAGUACGCUUAAUAGCUCGGGAGAAGUUAUUCAGUAUGUCUUAGAUAAGCUCAAGGUGGUUCAUUUAACUAAUGAAAGGCUAGUCACAGCUAUUGUCGUAGCUGUUGGCCCGCGGCAGCAAAGAUCGCUGCAGCAGCAAGGGCUGCGUUUCCGAUACGGCCAGUAUGGCCAUGUUAGAGCACAAUGCCCCUGUGGGGGAGGCCAGUCAGGGCCUCCUGAUCACAGGAAGGGCUUGCUAAAGGGUAUCCGUGGUCGGGUAUGCAGCAGUUAAAUAUCAUGAAUCUGGGAAAUUCUGUGGGUACCAUCGCGAAAAGUAAUACCAGAUAUAAGUAGCAUAUCUGCAAAAACUGAGUCUAGGUGCGAGUUUUCUACAGAAAUUCUUCGUUGGCAGACCGAAGCCAACUCCAGAACAACUGAGGGACAGACGAUGGGAUCAAGAACCACUCGUCAAGAGGAGCACUACACCUGCAACGCUGACACUUCCGAUGUUGCUGAUAUUUAUGGUGUCCAUGGCGAUUACAGAGUGUCACAAACAACUACAAUGGACACAAGAACAUAUGCAGAAAAUUAAAGAAGAGCGUGAUCCCUUUGAAAGCUGGCUGGACGGACUGUUUGGGGGAACGGGUUCAUGGUUAAAGCAAUUGCUUAAAGCUCUCGCAGUAGGAUUUGCAAUCUUUGUGUGUAUUCUAAUCCGUCUUCCAUGCUUUGUAGGAUGCUUGCCUUCAACGAAUGAUGGACAAGACUUUUGACUAUCACAUUGAGUAUCAUAGAUUGCGUGAAAAAUUAUAGAGGGGUUUAGGUUGUUGCGUUCGUGCUGUAACGGGGCAAGGCUUGGCCGAGCACGGAAAAGAAUUCCCUGUUGCUCUGAUGAUUGCUUAAGAACUGUAGUAGAAAAUAGUAGGAAUAGUGUGCUGAAAUAUAUUUAGGAUUAGGCGUUUUGCGCUGCUUCGCGAUGUACGGGUUAGGUGUGUGUGUAAGUAGUAUUUAGCUUAGGGAGGGGGAGAUGUUGUAGUAGGCGUCUUGCGGGGGCACGGGAUGUACGGGACAGGCCUCUCCCUAAACAUAGAGAGAUAGUGCUAUCGUGCUGACCUUGUUGCAGAGAAAACAGGAGAAGAAGAAGGAUGAUAAAAGAAUGUGGAAACGGCCAAAUAAGGCACAAUGUUAUCUGGUGUGAACUAAUCAGAGUGGGACAUGACAGCACGGUUAUCUAGGUAAAAUGUAUAUAAGCUGUGUUUAGUAGUGAAUAAACGCCAUUUGCCUCACUUACUCCUGGGGUCUGGGUGAGCAUCUGGCCCCGACCUGGUAAAGGGUCGGUUUCGCCCAGCAGUAAGCCCUACAUGUGGACAGAGGACGAACACCGGACGAGCGAACGGAGACUACAUGCAACACCUUUUUAUUCAACUACCCCCCUCUCCUAAUCUCUGCACGCUUUGGAGAUUUUGUAGCUCAGAAUUCUGAAAUAUCCAUACAACAUUUGUUCUAUGUAAUUAAGAAUAUGUAGAAUGCUAAAAAUACACUAAAAUCAUAUUAACAUAUAGGAAUUCAUUGUACCUUUUGAAUACCUUUCCGCAACUGUAGACUUUGAUAUAAUGUUCCACCUACAUGUAUUGCUAAUAAAUAUACAUUCAGAGAGGAGCAAAUGCACAGUGAUUUAUGAGUCACUGAUAGAAGUAAAAUCCAACACAUUUAUAGUAAUGUAUGUCUUGUUUUGCUUCAUGGGAAAUAGCUGCUUUACAUAUUAAUUAUUUUCAUUUAUAAAGUUAAAACCCAUUUUUUUUUCUCUUUUUCUUUUUUUUCUGCAUGUCAAGCUCUUAAAACCAUGUGAGUGCUGCUUUGAAAGUGAUUCUCCUAUUUUAUUAUGUUUGCUCAUAAUGUCAGAGGUGGAUAUUGGUGAUAUGUCAGUGAAGAGGCUAAACCUUACCACCAAUAUUCUGUUACAUUUUGUUGCUGUGUGACAAGUGGCAGCAGAGGGGAAGUCUGACAAAAGUGGUGUCUGACACAGUGGUGCAUAUGAGGCAAAGGUGUGUCACUGAAUUCCUCCAUGUGGAAAAAAUGACAUCCACUGACAUUAAUCAAUGACUGUUGAGACCAAAACAGUGCAUGUGAGAGCUGAAGCAGAUGGUGCCAUGGUUGCAGUAAUGUGAAAGACAAACCAUGUUCCACACAGCAAUGCACAGUUGUCACAUCAAAAGAUGAAGAGCAAAUUGCCUAAUGAUGGUGACUAUGUUGAAAAAUAGUGUUUUGUAGUUGAGAAUUUCCUCUAUAAUAUCAUGUAAUUAUGCUCUUUGAAUCUGUUGCAGUUUUCAUGGAAAUAAAUAGGAGCUAUUACAUUCUGAAUGACUUAUGUAAGUUAAAAUACAUUAAGUAAACCACUCCCUCACAGGUUUAAUCCAGACAGUGACUAAGAAGUAGUUACUCUAAUUCUCUAUUAUUCUGUAGGAUAAUACAUACAAAUUAUACUGUUCUAUGCCCUAAUUUAUCAGUAUAGUAAAAUGACCAGCAUUCUUCAGAAUGUCUGUGGCAGGAUUUCUUUGAUUCCAACAAUGUAUGAGGACAAGUCCAUAGCUACAGAAAUCCAUCUAGAAAUCAUUCAUUUGUGGUGAUUGAUCUUGAUAUAUGAACUCUAU